AUGGAUGCACAUGCUCCUCGUUCGGCCUCAACGACAUGGAAGGCCAUCAUUGUUGGCCGAGCUGUGCUAGAACGAGGAUUGAUCAAAAGAGUUGGGAAUGGUGAGUCCAUCUCCGUUUGGACCGGCAGGUGGAUACCCAACACGGAUACUCUCAAACCCAGGGGGCGCAUUGGUACUGAUCCAAUUGACCGCGUUUCUGAUUUGUUCGAUCAUGACAGUGGUACCUGGGAUGUUGAGUUGAUACGGAGGAAUUUUCUAGCACCAGAUGCGGAUGCCAUUUUGAACAUACCCUUGAGAGCUUCUGGUGGAGAGGAUUUCCUUGCUUGGGACUUGGAGAAGUCCGGUGUCUACUCUGUUAAAAUGGCCCAUCGUGCUCUAGUGACUCAUAACGAGCGUUUAGCUCUAGAGGAAGGAACGAUAGGGGAUCUUUCAUUGUCAGAUAAACACUUAUGGACUGCCUUAUGGAAAGUGAAGGUUAUUCCUAGAGUACGUGUAUUCGGUGGCGAGUGCUUCAUGGUAUUCUCCUUGACUAUGCUACUCUACAGUAUCGUCAUAUUGGGACGGCGGCGAGAUGUGAUUUAUGCAAGGCUGUAG
This 594-nucleotide ribosomal RNA is filed under the name Triticum aestivum (bread wheat). Its description in RNAcentral is "partial small subunit ribosomal RNA". Lineage: Eukaryota; Viridiplantae; Streptophyta; Magnoliopsida; Poales; Poaceae. The record is from RNAcentral.